Molecule: ribosomal RNA, 496 nt
Filed under: uncultured bacterium
Lineage: Bacteria
Description: partial 16S ribosomal RNA
Rfam family: Bacterial small subunit ribosomal RNA
Source: RNAcentral
GAUGAACGCUGGCGGCGUGCCUAAUACAUGCAAGUCGAGCGAACAGACGAGGAGCUUGCUCCUCUGACGUUAGCGGCGGACGGGUGAGUAACACGUGGAUAACCUACCUAUAAGACUGGGAUAACUUCGGGAAACCGGAGCUAAUACCGGAUAAUAUAUUGAACCGCAUGGUUCAAUAGUGAAAGACGGUUUUGCUGUCACUUAUAGAUGGAUCCGCGCCGCAUUAGCUAGUUGGUAAGGUAACGGCUUACCAAGGCAACGAUGCGUAGCCGACCUGAGAGGGUGAUCGGCCACACUGGAACUGAGACACGGUCCAGACUCCUACGGGAGGCAGCAGUAGGGAAUCUUCCGCAAUGGGCGAAAGCCUGACGGAGCAACGCCGCGUGAGUGAUGAAGGUCUUCGGAUCGUAAAACUCUGUUAUUAGGGAAGAACAAAUGUGUAAGUAACUAUGCACGUCUUGACGGUACCUAAUCAGAAGGCCACGGCUAACUACGU